GGUUCUAUAGCUCAGCGGGAGAGCACUCGCCUCACACGCGAGGGGUCGCUGGUUCGAACCCAGCUAGAACCACCA
This 75-nucleotide transfer RNA is filed under the name Nocardia huaxiensis. RNAcentral's name for it is "Nocardia sp. WCH-YHL-001 tRNA-Val". It matches the Rfam family "tRNA". Rfam says of the family: Transfer RNA (tRNA) molecules are approximately 80 nucleotides in length. RNAcentral also lists the same sequence under 1 other name. The record is from RNAcentral. Lineage: Bacteria; Bacillati; Actinomycetota; Actinomycetes; Mycobacteriales; Nocardiaceae.